CAGCAGCCGCGGUAAAACGAAGGGUGCAAGCGUUACUCGGAAUUACUGGGCGUAAAGCGUGUGUAGGUGGUUGUUUAAGUCUGUCGUGAAAGCCCUGGGCUCAACCUGGGAAUUGCGAUGGAUACUGGGCGACUAGAGUGCGGUAGAGGAUAGUGGAAUUUCCGGUGUAGCAGUGAAAUGCGUAGAGAUCGGAAAGAACACCAACGGCGAAAGCACUCUGCUGGGCCGACACUGACACUGAGAGACGAAAGCUAGGGGAGCAAAUGGGAUUAGAUACCCCUGUAGUCCCUGUCUCUUAUAC
Molecule: ribosomal RNA, 301 nt
Filed under: uncultured bacterium
Lineage: Bacteria
Description: partial 16S ribosomal RNA
Rfam family: Bacterial small subunit ribosomal RNA
Source: RNAcentral